GCUCCAAUAGCGUAUAUUAAAGUUGUUGCGGUUAAAAAGCUCGUAGUUGGAGUUCUGCCAGGUGACGCUCGUCCGCCAAGUGGUGUGUACAGGGCGUGCAUCUGGCCUUUCAAGGGGAACGUGUUGCACUUUAUUGUGUGGCGCGAGAUCCUUGACUUUUACUUGAGGAAAUAAGAGUGUUCCAAGCAGGCUCUCGUCGU
Molecule: ribosomal RNA, 200 nt
Filed under: uncultured eukaryote
Lineage: Eukaryota
Description: partial 18S ribosomal RNA
Rfam family: Eukaryotic small subunit ribosomal RNA
Source: RNAcentral